CUGUUUUGGAUCUUAGUUGAAAAUUGUAUGGAAAUCCAGUUUUAGCUAAUACUAAUUGCAAUUUCCUACACUAUGGAUUUAGUAAUGCAAUUGCAAGUUCCAUGGUAUAUAAAUUUCAAUAUUUUUUCCAGUGUCUGUUAGUGGAGCACCGUUGUGCUCCGCUAGAAGAUCGACACUCAAAUAAAGUCAGUCAUCAUCAUCAGUGCAUAAAUUAUAUAAGUAAACUAAGGUCUUUGUUGUCAGUCAUCUGAGAGUCAAUGCAGAAGAUUCUUCAAUUAUGUAUUUAAUGAUGAAACUAACAAUAUUAAAUAAGACUUGCUACAAGUCGACUCGUUUUGUAACUUGUCUCCCAAAGAGCAAAACGAGUCAGCGAAUAAAAGAAGUGUACUUGCCACAGUAAAAAUUUUCAAAGUACAAAUUUUGCUCGUCUGUAUGGAUCAACAAAGAAACCUUGUCAACGCAAUCUUGCACGCAGUUGGUCAGUGACCUAUUGUUGAGUAAUAGGUAAUAAUAGCCAUCCACAUCGUGGCAGUCAGCCUGAAAUUCAAAAACUUGUCGUUGAAAAUUUGUUGCACAUAAACACGUGCACUUGGCAAAUAAAACCCGCCAUAUGAAAACUUUUCGUAGAAAACUUGCUCGUCUGCAACCAGCUUAUGUAUCAGUGUAGCUGAUUAUCCUUUCGACGUGAAGCCUGUCUGCCAGUAACCGGCUUUCGAUCGGUUAUCUAUGGUUAAUGCUUGUGCCUUCUGUGACUACACCGUG
Paramuricea clavata is the source of this 762-nucleotide non-coding RNA. NCBI's taxonomy places the organism in Eukaryota, Metazoa, Cnidaria, Anthozoa, Malacalcyonacea, Plexauridae. The record is from the annotation of a GenBank genome assembly.